UCGGCAGUAGCUCAGUAGGUAGAGCAGGUGGACAGAGCGGUCUACAGAACCGUAGGGUCGGUGGUUCGAUCCCCGCUUCCAAA
Non-coding RNA from Merluccius polli (Benguela hake), 83 nucleotides. The record is from the annotation of a GenBank genome assembly. Lineage: Eukaryota; Metazoa; Chordata; Actinopteri; Gadiformes; Merlucciidae.